This 253-nucleotide ribosomal RNA is filed under the name uncultured bacterium. Its description in RNAcentral is "partial 16S ribosomal RNA". It matches the Rfam family "Bacterial small subunit ribosomal RNA", at positions 524 to 776 of the family's 1533-position model. The record is from RNAcentral.
UACGAAGGGGGCUAGCGUUGCUCGGAAUCACUGGGCGUAAAGGGUGCGUAGGCGGGUCUCUAAGUCAGGGGUGGAAUCCUGGAGCUCAACUCCAGAACUGCCUUUGAUACUGGCGAUCUUGAGUCCGGGAGAGGUGAGUGGAACUGCGAGUGUAGAGGUGAAAUUCGUAGAUAUUCGCAAGAACACCAGUGGCGAAGGCGGCGACCUGGGCCAAUACUGACGCUGAGGUGCGAAAGCGUGGGGAGCAAACAGG